CAUCAGGUAACAUGAAAUCGUACCCCAAACCGACACAGGUGGUCAGGUAGAGAAUACUCAGGCGCUUGAGAGAACUCGGGUGAAGGAACUAGGCAAAAUGGUGCCGUAACUUCGGGAGAAGGCACGCUGGCAUUAGGUAAAGGGACUUGCUCCCGGCGCCGAAGCCAGUCGCAGAUACCAGCUGGCUGCAACUGUUUAAUAAAAACACAGCACUGUGCAAACACGAAAGUGGACGUAUACGGUGUGACGCCUGCCCGGUGCUGGAAGGUUAAUUGAUGGGGUCAGCCGCAAGGCGAAGCUCUUGAUCGAAGCCCCAGUAAACGGCGGCCGUAACUAUAACGGUCCUAAGGUAGCGAAAUUCCUUGUCGGGUAAGUUCCGACCUGCACGAAUGGCGUAAUGAUGGCCAGGCUGUCUCCACCCGAGACUCAGUGAAAUUGAACUCGCUGUGAAGAUGCAGUGUACCCGCGGCAAGACGGAAAGACCCCGUGAACCUUUACUAUAGCUUGACACUGAACAUUGAGCCUUGAUGUGUAGGAUAGGUGGGAGGCAU
RNAcentral lists this ribosomal RNA (551 nucleotides) under Yersinia enterocolitica. RNAcentral describes it as "partial 23S ribosomal RNA". It matches the Rfam family "Bacterial large subunit ribosomal RNA", at positions 1625 to 2157 of the family's 2925-position model. The record is from RNAcentral. Lineage: Bacteria; Pseudomonadati; Pseudomonadota; Gammaproteobacteria; Enterobacterales; Yersiniaceae.